RNAcentral lists this ribosomal RNA (335 nucleotides) under Sarcodon sp. 351-426. RNAcentral's name for it is "eukaryotic LSU rRNA". The stretch from base 1 to 105 matches the Rfam family "5.8S ribosomal RNA", at positions 50 to 154 of the family's 154-position model. Lineage: Eukaryota; Fungi; Basidiomycota; Agaricomycetes; Thelephorales; Thelephoraceae. The record is from RNAcentral.
GAAAUGCGAUAAGUAAUGUGAAUUGCAGAAUUCAGUGAAUCAUCGAAUCUUUGAACGCACCUUGCGCUCCUUGGUAUUCCGAGGAGCAUGCCUGUUUGAGUGUCUUGAAAUUCUCGACUGCCUCUCGGGGUGAAGUCGGAUUUGAAGCGUGUUUUUUGCCAGGCUUUGUUGCUCUGGCUGCUUCUAAAAGCAUUCGAGCCCCUCUUGUGCAAAAGUAUCUUUGACGUGAUAACCAAUCUGCGUCGUGGAGAAAAAAAGACUAGAGAUGGGCUCGUCAACGGUUUUGGUGUUGACCUUUUGACCUCAAAUCAGGCAGGACUACCCGCUGAACUUAA